CUGGAAUGCCCGGUAUCCCAAAGCUCCGGCGCCUUAGGAUGGAUCUGCGGCCGAUUAGGUCGUUGUUGGGGUAACGGCCCAACAAGCCGAUAAUCGGUACGGGUUGUGGGAGCAAGAGCCCGGAGUUGGAUUCUGAGACACGAAUCCAGGCCCUACGGGGCGCAGCAGGCGCGAAAACUUUACAAUGCGGGCAACCGUGAUAAGGGAACCUCGAGUGCCUGUACAUGCAGGCUGUCUGGGUGUCUAAAACACACCCAAAGAAAGGGCCGGGCAAGACCGGUGCCAGCCGCCGCGGUAAUACCGGCGGCUCGAGUGGUGGCCACUUUUAUUGGGCUUAAAGCGUUCGUAGCUGGGUUGUUAAGUCUCUUGGGAAAUCUGGCAGCUUAACUGUCAGGCGUCUAAGAGAUACUGGCAAUCUAGGAACCGGGAGAGGUGAGGGGUACUUCGGGGGUAGGAGUGAAAUCCUGUAAUCCUCGAGGGACCACCUGUGGCGAAGGCGCCUCACCAGAACGGCUUCGACAGUGAGGGACGAAAGCUGGGGGAGCAAACCGGAUUAGAUACCCGGGUAGUCCCAGCCGUAAACGAUGCGCGUUAGGUGUGUCGAUGACCACGAGUCAUCGAGGUGCCGAAGGGAAACCGUGAAACGCGCCGCCUGGGAAGUACGGUCGCAAGGCUGAAACUUAAAGGAAUUGGCGGGGGAGCACCACAACAGGUGGAGCCUGCGGUUUAAUUGGACUCAACGCCGGGAAGCUCACCGGAUAGGACAGCAGAAUGAUUGCCGGGCUGAAGAC
This 791-nucleotide ribosomal RNA is filed under the name Methanoculleus thermophilus. Its description in RNAcentral is "bacterial SSU rRNA". It matches the Rfam family "Archaeal small subunit ribosomal RNA", at positions 170 to 966 of the family's 1478-position model. The record is from RNAcentral. Lineage: Archaea; Methanobacteriati; Methanobacteriota; Methanomicrobia; Methanomicrobiales; Methanomicrobiaceae.